This 522-nucleotide ribosomal RNA is filed under the name Acinetobacter sp. Its description in RNAcentral is "bacterial SSU rRNA". It matches the Rfam family "Bacterial small subunit ribosomal RNA", at positions 387 to 900 of the family's 1533-position model. Lineage: Bacteria; Pseudomonadati; Pseudomonadota; Gammaproteobacteria; Moraxellales; Moraxellaceae. The record is from RNAcentral.
AUCAGCCAUGCCGCGUGUGUGAAGAAGGCCUUUUGGUUGUAAAGCACUUUAAGCGAGGAGGAGGAGCUCUUGGUUAAUACCCAAGAUGCUUGGACGUUACUCGCAGAAUAAGCACCGGCUAACUCUGUGCCAGCAGCCGCGGUAAUACAGAGGGUGCAAGCGUUAAUCGGAUUUACUGGGCGUAAAGCGCGCGUAGGUGGCCAAUUAAGUCAAAUGUGAAAUCCCCGAGCUUAACUUGGGAAUUGCAUUCGAUACUGGUUGGCUAGAGUAUGGGAGAGGAUGGUAGAAUUCCAGGUGUAGCGGUGAAAUGCGUAGAGAUCUGGAGGAAUACCGAUGGCGAAGGCAGCCAUCUGGCCUAAUACUGACACUGAGGUGCGAAAGCAUGGGGAGCAAACAGGAUUAGAUACCCUGGUAGUCCAUGCCGUAAACGAUGUCUACUAGCCGUUGGGGCCUUUGAGGCUUUAGUGGCGCAGCUAACGCGAUAAGUAGACCGCCUGGGGAGUACGGUCGCAAGACUAAAAC